GACGAACGCUGGCGGCGUGCCUAAUACAUGCAAGUCGAACGAACCGCGACUGAGUGCUUGCACUUGGUCAAGGUGAGUGGCGAACGGGUGAGUAACACGUGGGUAACCUACCUCAUAGUGGGGGAUAACAGUCGGAAACGACUGCUAAUACCGCAUAGGACAUAGGAUCACAUGAUCCAGUGAGGAAAGGUGGCGCAAGCUAUCGCUAAGAGAUGGACCCGCGGUGCAUUAGCUAGUUGGUAGGGUAAAGGCCUACCAAGGCGAUGAUGCAUAGCCGACCUGAGAGGGUGAUCGGCCACAUUGGGACUGAGACACGGCCCAAACUCCUACGGGAGGCAGCAGUAGGGAAUUUUCCGCAAUGGACGCAAGUCUGACGGAGCAACGCCGCGUGAGUGGAGAAGGUCUUCGGAUCGUAAAGCUCUGUUGUUAGAGAAGAACAGCGCAUAGAGUAACUGCUAUGCGUGUGACGGUAUCUAACCAGAAAGCCACGGCUAACUACGUG
RNAcentral lists this ribosomal RNA (502 nucleotides) under uncultured bacterium. Its description in RNAcentral is "partial 16S ribosomal RNA". It matches the Rfam family "Bacterial small subunit ribosomal RNA", at positions 28 to 507 of the family's 1533-position model. The record is from RNAcentral.